GAAAUGCGAUAAGUAGUGUGAAUUGCAGAAUUCAGUGAAUCAUCGAAUCUUUGAACGCACAUUGCGCCCCUUGGUAUUCCAUGGGGCAUGCCUGUUCGAGCGUCAUUUGUACCCUCAAGCUCUGCUUGGUGUUGGGUGUUUGUCCCGUCUCCGCGCGUGGACUCGCCCCAAAGUGAUUGGCAGCCGGCGUACUGGUCCCGGAGCGCAGCACAUGUCGCGCAAACGAGUGCCUUGGUACGGCGGCGUCCAUAAGCCCCUCUCUCACGCUCUUGACCUCGGAUCAGGUAGGUAUACCCGCUGAACUUAAGC
This 309-nucleotide unclassified non-coding RNA is filed under the name plant metagenome. RNAcentral's name for it is "partial contains 5.8S ribosomal RNA, internal transcribed spacer 2, and large subunit ribosomal RNA". The stretch from base 1 to 105 matches the Rfam family "5.8S ribosomal RNA", at positions 50 to 154 of the family's 154-position model. The record is from RNAcentral.